RNAcentral lists this long non-coding RNA (1961 nucleotides) under Oryctolagus cuniculus (rabbit). RNAcentral's name for it is "lncRNA (ENSOCUG00000037633.1)". Lineage: Eukaryota; Metazoa; Chordata; Mammalia; Lagomorpha; Leporidae. The record is from RNAcentral.
GGCCUUGCAGGAGCAGGGUAGGCGCCAGAGCCGAGUGGCGGUGGCGGGGUGAUGGCGUUUGCAGGGCGAAAGGAACUGGGAUCCUGGGGGGAAACCUCAGCAGGGGCUGAGUGCGCGGGCUUUGCGGUUGAGAAAGGUCCAGCCAGGCUCUCGGCGCGCCCAGCAGCGCGUGGGGGGGCGUCCUGUCCACAGUGGCCUGCUUCCUUUCCCUGUCAAGGCUGGGGUGACUCAGAGCCCCUGCAGGGAGCACGAGUCUCCAGCGCUUCAGGGCCUGCGUCUCUCGGCCAGACUGUAGCCCGUGACCUUCCCAGGGCCAACCAAGGGCGAGGCGUGUUGCCCAACAAGGCCUCCGCUCCAUGGGCCGCGGGGGAAAUCGCCAGGCACGAGCCCUGUGGGCCGGGGCGCAGCCACCCACGCAUGCCCGAGGAGGCCUUCGGGGAGCAGAGACCGGAGCUGAGAGGCUGCGGAGCCAGCCCCGCACCACUGACAGCCGGGGCACGUCUGCGGAGCCCGGGGGAACCAUCCACGCAGGAGCCCUACGUCCUGGGAGCUGGGGACACGCCUGCAAGAGGGCAACCAGGUGCCAGUGUUGGCGAGCAGAAUCGCCCCCCACUCGGGCCCUCCUCCUGGGCCAGGCUCCAGCUUCGGGCAGGAUCCCUGCGGGAUGCUCUGGCACACGCAAGGUGGAAAUGUGUCUGUUCACUUGUACACACGCUCACACGUGCCCUGGCAGAGAGGGCUGUACCUGCCUCCCUUCCAGGCCUAUCUGCCUGCAGUCCUUUGGAGUGGACCAAGUCUUUGUGCCUCCCCCUGCAAAGCGUCCUGUGUGUUACCUAACGCCCUCACACAGGGGGCCCUGGAGCUACAGUUUUUGCCCCAAAUCAGCCAGCACGGGGUCAUCCAAUGGGGGUGUAAGGGUGAUGCCAAUGUUAGUGACAGCUUCAUCCCCUGGGGGCUUUUAUUCCUCCCCUUGAAGCCCCAUUUCUAGGCUCUGGAACAAAGGGGAGAGGAACCCGAUCUCUCUUUCGGUCUCCCUUUCUCCUCACUUCCACACCCUCACCUGCAAGCCCCUCUCUUUGAUAAACAGAGGAAAGCCUCAGGGAUCAGGUACAAAUGUAAAUAUUGCUUACCUGGGCAGGCCCCUCCUCUUUAAAAAGCAGAUGGUCCCUUUCAGGUGCAGGCUGCCCAAAGCCUCUCUCAGAAGGCAUGGGAUGCAAGCCUACUCUCUCAAAGUCCUUCUCUUGUUAAGAACAUUCGGGACAACUAGUAAAUAGUUCUUGGAAGAGUUGAAGACCUUUCUCUCAGGGCUGCAACCCUUUUAAAGCCCUGCUGAGUGUACAAAGUAGGAUCAGUAAGUUUGCUUGCAGAGUUGUGAAAUUUGAGAGAGCUGUCUUCCAAAAAAGGUUUAGUAGCAAUAGUUGAUCGAUAGAGUUUGUUUCAUUCAUGCCUUCUCUGCUAUUGAAUCCUAAGGAUUCUUAAGACCAAGUUACGAGGAGGAAGACAUUUGUUUUCAUUUUGUUAGUUUCUGGGCGAUACUAUACUUUCUGAUUAGACCAAUUUAUGUUUCUGAACUCUGCAGGAGAGUCCUCAGCCUUGGAAAUGUAAAUGAAAACCAGACUCCUCCUCUCUGAGACCUUCAGGGGGACAGAAUGAACAAACCUGCCUGGCGUCCACUCACACCCGAAGCUGCCCCGUCUGAACUUGGGUGGAGGGAAGCUGGUGGAUUUUAACACCAUUUCUUUCCACCGUGGCACCAGAAGAGCUCCUUGCAUUGAAUAGCUCUUCUAUUUCAGUGUGCAGUGUUGCAGCCGACUGAAUGGGCUUGCCUUCUGCCGAGGCAGUCUUGGAAGACGGAAGUCAUCUGUGAUUUCCCAGGAAGCUCUUCACCAGACCACCUCCUGUCCUUUUCUUUUUAAUUAUUUAAAAAUAAAAGUAUGUUUGCUUCCCUCUUGAGUGUCCGG